Molecule: long non-coding RNA, 1671 nt
Organism: Panicum virgatum (switchgrass)
Lineage: Eukaryota; Viridiplantae; Streptophyta; Magnoliopsida; Poales; Poaceae
Exons: 3
Source: RefSeq, a predicted model, not a curated record
GUUUUGGCGCGAGGACGAGCCGUGGGCGGCGGCGAGCCGGCGAUCGUCUUUGGCCCGCGCCCGUGCAGCAGCAGACCCCGACGAUUCACGUGCCCGGAGGCUGUUUGCCGUUGCCGGCCACCGCCCGGAGUGCUGGAGUGCUGCCCCGUGAAACAACUCCAAGCAGAGGACCAGCCCUCCGAGCACAACUGGACUAAUCUGAACGUAUUUGGAGGAAAGAAAAAUCCGCAUAUUUGAGAUGGAAGAAAAUAGAGUGGGUGCGCUGCCUUUGUUGCCUGAAGUUGGCAUGGAGUUCAGUACUAUUGAUGAGGCUUGGAUGUUUUGGAUUAGCUAUGAAGGUCAAAACAGGUUUGAGGUUAGAAAAAGGUACACAAACAAAAUAAAAUCAGAUGAGAGGGUUAGGUCCUGCAGAUAUGUUUGUGCAAAUGAGGGUCAUAGAAAGGAAGAUAAAAGGGAUCAUCUAACAAAGUGUCCAAGAGCUGAAACUAGAACCGGUUGUCAAGUUCGCAUGGGUGUUAUACUAGAUCGAGAGAAGGGGAAUUAUAAAGUGUCUGAUCUAGUUUUGGAACACAAUUACAUCCUUCAGUUGCCAGAAACCUCACACUUGAUGGCCAUCAAUACAGUCCCUCAACUGUGCAUUCAAACCUUUUAUUUUGCAGGGGGCAAUCACAUAUGAUGUUAUUGCUGAUUUCUAGUAGUACAUAUUGUUUAGGAGAACAACUUUUGGAGAAUAGCUUUUGUCAUUGAAGUGUAAAGUUUAGGGAAUUACAUCUCCGAACAACGAACAACAACGUAUUUUGUGCAUCUCUGAACUUGCAACAAUCAGCAUUACUUUUUAUUCAAUUCUAAGACAAUUUACAAUUUGCAUGAGUUUGCUACUUAGGAUACAAUCACAAGUUACAGAGUCUUGCUAGCUUUGAUGCUACUAUUUCUUCACCUUUGUCAGCGGCACCACCAGUUGGUGUACACCUUGAGGCAGAGCAGAGGUAUUUUGACUCCUCUUGGAAUGAUCCUACUUGCUGCUUCAGGUAAUCAGAAAAGCUUCCAAUUCGCUUUCACCUUUCAGCCAUUCAGUAGCACUAGCUCCCGAAACCUCGAGGUAAUAAACUAGCCAUUCAGUGACACUAGCUCCUCUUUGACUGAAACGAUUGAUGCUUCUCUGCCUCGACGAAACUUGCCGAGGUCGACCUCGAAGCUUGCAGGCCUGCAGCUUCCAGGACGGCAACGGCACGACGCUCGGCGAGGGACGGCCACGGCGCGGCGCUCGGCAAGCUCGAAGCUUGCAAGCCUGCAGCUUCCAGGACGGUGACGGCACGACGCUCGGCGAGGGACGGCCACGGCGCAGCGCUCGGCGAGGACGGCGCGCCACCGCUCUUGGCGAGGAUGGCGACGGGAGACGGCAAGGUCGCAAGGACGGUGCGGCGCGGCAGUGGAUGUGGCCCUCCGCCCUCGGCUGGAACUUCGGAAGACGGCGGCGGCGAGGAGAUGCUGGUGCUCUUGUUCCUGGGCUGAGAUGGGCCAGUGGGUGUGACUUGUAUUGGCCCGUUGAUUCCUCUGUAGCCCACCUCUCGUCUAUAGGACUUAUAGAACCUUUUUCCUCAGUGCAUACUCUGUUUACAAUCUCUCUCAGGAAUGUUCCUUCUGUAUUCAUUGGAUUAUUAGUAGUGAUUA